Molecule: long non-coding RNA, 482 nt
Filed under: Homo sapiens (human)
Lineage: Eukaryota; Metazoa; Chordata; Mammalia; Primates; Hominidae
Description: HSALNT0099514
Source: RNAcentral
CCUCCGAAGGCCGGCGUGCCUGCCGCCAGGUGCGGCUCCGCGGAAUUCCAGCUUCGCCUGAACUAAAAGCAGCUGUGCAGCUUUCUGCCUUCAUUGAGAAAACGGGAGCUGUGCCGUCGCCUUUCCUCCUGGGCUGCCUCCGACCCAGCACUGAGAAACCGAAACUCCCCGGGGCUGGGUGUGUGAAGGAGGGACAGGGAGGAGGCGACAGCCCAGGACCCUCCAAUGCCCCCGCCCCGCCCGCCCAGUGUGAUGUCCUUCUAGUCGUGGGAUACUGAGCUUGGAAAUGGUCAUGAAAUAGGGGUGCAAAACUCAAGCGACUCUGACAAUUUUUUAGAAACGCUUAUAGUCCCUGGGGAAACAAAGAAGGGGACCAGAAGCUAGGAGGGGACAGCAUCCUACCAGACUCCAGGGUGUUCAUUAGCAAGGAAGGAUUUAUUUUUUCUUUUGAGGGGAGGGCGGAACAGCCGGGAUUUUUGGAA